AUGUUGGGUUAAGUCCCGCAACGAGCGCAACCCUUUUCCUUAUUUGCCAGCGGGUUAAGCCGGGAACUUUAAGGAUACUGCCAGUGACAAACUGGAGGAAGGCGGGGACGACGUCAAGUCAUCAUGGCCCUUACGACCAGGGCUACACACGUGCUACAAUGGUAGGUACAGAGGGUUGCUACACAGCGAUGUGAUGCUAAUCUCAAAAAGCCUAUCGUAGUCCGGAUUGGAGUCUGCAACUCGACUCCAUGAAGUCGGAAUCGCUAGUAAUCGCAGAUCAGAAUGCUGCGGUGAAUACGUUCCCGGGCCUUGUACACACCGCCCGUCACACCAUGGGAGUCUAUUGCACCAGAAGUAGGUAGCCUAACGCGCAAGGGAGGGAGCCGUCGAAGGUAGGGUCGAUGAUUGGGGUGAAGUCGUAACAAGGUAA
Molecule: ribosomal RNA, 430 nt
Filed under: uncultured Pseudomonadota bacterium
Lineage: Bacteria; Pseudomonadati; Pseudomonadota
Description: bacterial SSU rRNA
Rfam family: Bacterial small subunit ribosomal RNA
Source: RNAcentral